CCCGAGCCCCUCUCUGCGUGUUCACAGCGGACCUUGAUUUAAUGUCCAUACAAUUAAGGCACGCGGUGAAUGCCAAGAGAGGAGCCUCACA
Molecule: microRNA precursor, 91 nt
Organism: Accipiter nisus (Eurasian sparrowhawk)
Lineage: Eukaryota; Metazoa; Chordata; Aves; Accipitriformes; Accipitridae
Source: Ensembl